RNAcentral lists this ribosomal RNA (501 nucleotides) under uncultured bacterium. Its description in RNAcentral is "bacterial SSU rRNA". It matches the Rfam family "Bacterial small subunit ribosomal RNA", at positions 28 to 517 of the family's 1533-position model. The record is from RNAcentral.
GAUGAACGCUAGCUACAGGCUUAACACAUGCAAGUCGAGGGGCAGCAUGACGAUAGCUUGCUAUUGUCGAUGGCGACCGGCGCACGGGUGAGUAACGCGUAUCCAACCUUCCCGUUGCUAGGGGAUAACCUUGCGAAAGUAAGACUAAUACCCUAUGAGGUUCUUCGCAGGCAUCUAAAGAGAACGAAAGAUUUAUCGGCAACGGAUGGGGAUGCGUCUGAUUAGGUUGUUGGCGGGGUAACGGCCCACCAAGCCCACGAUCAGUAGGGGUUCUGAGAGGAAGGUCCCCCCACAUUGGAACUGAGACACGGUCCAAACUCCUACGGGAGGCAGCAGUGAGGAAUAUUGGUCAAUGGACGCAAGUCUGAACCAGCCAAGUAGCGUGCAGGAUGACGGCCCUAUGGGUUGUAAACUGCUUUUAUGCGGGGAUAAAGUGUGGGACGUGUCCCAUAUUGCAGGUACCGCAUGAAUAAGGACCGGCUAAUUCCGUGCCAGCAGCCG